RNAcentral lists this long non-coding RNA (2658 nucleotides) under Homo sapiens (human). RNAcentral describes it as "HSALNT0396734". The record is from RNAcentral. Lineage: Eukaryota; Metazoa; Chordata; Mammalia; Primates; Hominidae.
GGCGGGCUUCCUCUUUGUUUGGCAGCCAGGAGUCUGGAGCGCAGGUGCCGGGCAGGCAGCACUGGGAGCGCUCGGCGACUUGGCUGGAGGCCGAAGGUGCCGCCCCUGGGGAACCAGAGCGCCUUUGCAAGAAGGAGUCUCGCUCUGACACCCAGGCUGGAGUGCAGUGGCGCGAUCUCGGCUCACCGCAAGCUCCGCCUCCCGGGUUCACGCCAUUCUCUGCCUCAACCUCCCGAGUAGCUGGGACUACAAGCGCCUGCCACCACGACCGGCUAAUUUUUGUAUUUUUAGUAGAGAUAAGGUUUCACUGUGCUAGCCAGGAUGGUCUCGAUCUCCUGACCUCGUGAUCCGCCCGUCUCGGCCUCCCAAAGUGUAGGGAUUACCGUCGUGAGCCACCACGACCGGCCCCUGAGAGAAGGCAUUCUUGUCUUGUGCCAGUUUUCAAAAAGAAAUGGUUUCAACUUGCAUCUAUUUGGUAUAUUGGCUGUGGGUUUUUCAUAGAUAACUCAUUAUUUUGAAGAAUGUACCUUCAAUGCCUAGUCUAUUGAGGGUGAUAACAUAAAGGAUGUUAAACUUUAUUGAAAGAUUUUUCUGCAUCUAUUGAGAUAAUCUUGUGGGUUUUGUCUUUAUUUCUGUUUAUGCGAUGAAUCACUUUUAUUGAUUUGAAGCAACCCUGCAUCCAGGGAUAAAGCUUACUUGAUCAUAGUCGACUGACUUUUAUUUUAUUUAUUUAUUUUUUGAGAUGGAGUCUCAUUUUCUCGCCUAGGCUGGAGUGCAGUGGCGUGAUAUCAGCUCACCGCAACCUCCGCCUCCCGGGUUCAAGCGAUUCUCCUGCCUCAGCCUUCCAAGUAGCUGGGAUUACAGGUGCCUGUCACCAUGCCCGCCUAAUUUUUGUAUUUUUAGUAGAAACGAGGUUUCACCAUUUUGGCCAGGCUGGUCUCGAACUCCUGACCUCAGGUGAUCCACCCACCUCGGCUUCCCAAAGUGCUGGGAUUACAGGCGUGAGCCACCACACCCAACCCAUAGUCGAUUAACUUUUUGAUGUGCUUCUGGAUUUGGUUUGUCAGUAUUUUGUUGGGAAUUUUUUAUCAAUGUUUAUUAAGAAUAUUGGCCUGAGGUUUUCUUUGUUUUGUUUUGUCUCUGCUAGGUUUUGGUAUCAGAAUGAUGCUGUUCUUAUAUAACGAGUUGGGGAGGAGUUCCUUCUCAAUUAUUUGGAAUAGUUUUAGUAGGAAUAAUAGCAGUUCUUUGUACAUCUGGUAGAAUUCAGCUGUAAGUCUGUCUGGUCCUGGGCUUUUUUUGGUUGGUAGGCUGUUUAUUACUAAUUAAAUUUUGGAGCUUUUUAUUGUUCUAUUAAGGGAUUCAGUUUUUGUUGUUGUUGUUGUUCAAUCUUGGGAAGAUGUAUUUGUCCAGGAAUUCAUUCAUUUCUUCUAGAUUUUCUAGUUUGUGUGCGUAGAAAUGUUCACUGUAGACUUUAAUUAUUAUUUGUAUUUUUGUUGGGUAUUGUCUGUUUUAUCAUUUCUAAUUGUUUCUUCAUUAAUCUAGCUAGUGGCUUAUUUAUUCUUCAUUAAUCUAGCUAGUGGCUUAUUUAUUCUUCAUUAAUCUAGCUAGUGGUUUAUAUUAUUAAUUUUUUCAAAAAAUUUACUCUUCGAUUUCUCCAUCUUUCUUGUAGUUUUUUAUGUUUAAAUCUUCUUCAGUUCAGAUGUGAUUUUUGUUAUAUCUUGUCUUCUGCUAGCUUAAGGGUUGAUUUGUUCUUGCUUCUCUCAUUCUUCUAUUUAUGACAUCGGGUUGUUAAAUGGAGAUUUUUCUAACUUUUUGAUGUGAGCACUUAGUUUAUAGCACUGCCUUAGUUGUGUUGCAGUGAUUCUGCUGUGUUGUAUUUUUGUUCUCACGUAUUUCAAAGAACUUCUCAAUUUCAUUUUAGUCAUUCAAGUGUAGGUUGUUUAAUUUUUUAUGUGUCUGGUUUCAAGUGCUUUUAUUUGUAUUGAAUUAUAUUUUUAUCAAGCUGCAGUCUGAGUGUGUUGCUGAUAUGAUUUGGGGAUUUUUGAAUUUGCUGAGGAUUGCUUUAGUUUUAAAUGUGUGGUCAGUUUUAAAGUAUGUGCUCUGUGGUAAUGAGAACGAUGUAUAUUAUGUUGUCUUUAGAUGGAGAGUUCUGUAGGUGUCUGUUAGGACAAUUUGGUCAAGUGUUGAGUUCAGGUCCUAAUAUCUUUGUGGUUUUUUUUUCCUCAGUAAUCCAUUUAUUAGUGUCUGUGGGGUGUUGUAGUUUCCUCCUAUUAUUGUGUCAGAGUCUGUCUUCAUAAGUCACUAAGAACUUGCUUUAUUUAUUUGCACCCAUAAAUUUAUAUAACACAUUUUUCUCUUCUGCUUUUUUCCCCAUAAACACAGUGUGCCCAAGGCUAUUCCACAGAUGUCUGAAUUCAUUGUCUACUGAAAUUCCGACGUCUUGACAGUUCAACAUGUUCCAGGACAUGGCUGUUGUAGGAAAAAAUAUGAAUUAGAAAUAAGAGGAUUUAUUCACAUACCUUAAAAUAAAGGAGAAUAUUUUGCUCUUCUCUCUUUUCUUAUAGCAUUUAUAUUAUAUGUAGACAAUUUUCUCUGUUUUUUUUGAAAUAUAUGGAAGUCAUAUUAACAGCUAAAUAAACCUUUUGGCAUUCUUUUUUA